AGUGGCUGGCUUCCAGGUUCAAGGUAUGACAAUUCUGAGCUUUCCUUCUCAAAUAGAAUCUUCGAUCCUAGAGCUAUAAUUUUUGCUUGAAACAGGUUAACGUCUUUCUAAACUUUGUUCAAUGACAUGCCAAUUUACAUAAUCAUAUGAUUUGAUGACUAUAGAAUAUCUCUUUAUGGCUUUCCUAGUACUUUCUGCAUCAUACUUUAGCUAAAUACACAUCAGUAAUAACAAGUGCUAAUAUUAUGUUAUCAGAAGAGUGAUAUUUAUUCAUAAUGCAUGUAUGAGGGACCAGUUCAUCCACAUGUUAGACGAGAACAUCCAUAGAGGCCAGGUUAUAUCUAGAUAACAUUACCAUGUCUGAUAGUUAAGACUUUGUCAUUAUGCAGGGGCUUAAGGAACAAAAUAGAA
This 411-nucleotide unclassified non-coding RNA is filed under the name Hevea brasiliensis (rubber tree). Lineage: Eukaryota; Viridiplantae; Streptophyta; Magnoliopsida; Malpighiales; Euphorbiaceae. The record is from RNAcentral.